Molecule: long non-coding RNA, 8769 nt
Organism: Spinacia oleracea (spinach)
Lineage: Eukaryota; Viridiplantae; Streptophyta; Magnoliopsida; Caryophyllales; Amaranthaceae
Exons: 6
Source: RefSeq, a predicted model, not a curated record
CAAAAGCUUUUGUGCGACAAUGGAUCAAGAACUGCAGAGAGAAAUAAGGAAAAGAAGACGGGUGAUACUCGAUGAGGAAAGACAACAGAGGCAAUUACAAGCAAUGCAAGUUAAUCAAGAACCCAAUAACACAGAAUUGCAGAGAGAAAGAAGGAAAAGAAGACGAAUGAUACUUGAUGAGGAAAGACUACAGAGGCAAUUACAAGCAAUGCAAGUUAACCAAGGAUGAUACUCGAUGAGGAAAUACAACAAAGGCAAUUAGAAGCAAUGCAAGAACCCAAUAACACAGAAUUGCAGAGAGAAAGAAGGAAAAGAAGACGACACGAUGAGGAAAUACAAAUGCAAUUAGAAGCAAUGGAAGUGAAUCAAGAACCCACUAACGCAGACUUGCAGAGAGAAAGAAGGAAAAGAAGACGGAUGAUACUUAAUGAAAAAAGACAACAAAGACAAUUACAACCAGUACAAGAAAAAACACAUAAUCAAGGAUAUUUGAGUUUAGGCCCACCUGAAGAGGAAUGUCCAUACUGUAGUGCAAUAAUGUGGUGGGAAGAGAGAAUCAAGGAAAAGAGCACGAAAAACAGGACCGUUUUCAACAUGUGCUGUCAACACGGUAAAGUAAAACUGCCAAAAUUCAAAGAACCGCCAGAGUUAUUAGCAAAAUUGUUGAAUUAAUCGGGAGACAUGGGAGACAGAAGUGCUGCAAACUUUAGACAGCUAAUCCGUAUGUACAACUCAUGUUUUGCACUUACUUCAAUGGGCGCCAAAAUUGAUGCUUCAGUAAACACAAAUUCUGGGCCAUAUGUUUACAGAGUUAGUGGGCAAAAUCAUCAUCUCAUAGGGUCUCUUCUCCCAGUUGACGAAAAAAGGCCAGCAUUUGCACAACUAUAUAUAUAUGACACUGCAUCAGAGAUAAGCAAUAGAACAGAAGCUGUCUGCAAGCAUGACAAAAGCUCGGAAUUAAAUUCUGAGUUACUCUCCAAAUUGAAGACCAUGCUUGACAAAGUGAACCCCCUGGUACAAACCUUCAGAACAGCAUAACAGAGAAUAAAUCAAAAUGCAAAAGCAAAAUGGUCAAUCAGGCUACUUGGUACAAGGGACAAUAAAAACAAGGCAUACAACAUCCCCACAUCAUCUGAGAUAACCGCUCUUAUAGUAGGAGAUAUUGGCCACAACACUUAUGGAAGGGAUAUAAUUAUUGAGCACAAAUCAGAAGGAUUAAAAAGAAUCAGUGAAUUACACCCAAGCUUCAUGGUUCUACAGUACCCUAUGUUGUUCCCAUAUGGUGAGGAUAGCUACCAUCUUGGAAUACCAUAUGUCAACAAUAAAGGACCGGAAAUAGGAAAAGGGAAUGUGUGACAAUGAGAGAAUAUUAGGCAUACAGGUUGCAAACCAGAAAAACAGAAGGACAGACUCUCCUACGGGCAGCUCGACUACUCCAGCAAUUUAUAGUUGACUGCUAUUGCGCAAUUGAAGAAGAAAGGUUGUCAUUUAUUUGAAACCAUCAACAACAACUUAGGUGCGACCUUUACAACAACCUACGAGAUGCAAUGGUACAAGGAGACACAACAGGGGCAGCAGUUGGAAAAAGAAUUGUCUUACCAGAAACAUUCACAGGAGGACCAAGGUACAUGUACCAAAACUACCAAGACGCCAUGGCAAUUUGUAGAUGGUAUGGGAGCCCACAUCUAUUCAUAACAUUCACUGCAAAUCCAAAGUGGCCUGAGGUUCAGUCAAUGUUAAGUGAAAUUGAAGAUCAAAAGCCUGAAGAUCGGCCAGAUAUCAUGGCAAGGGUAUUCAAACUGAAGCUAUAACUGAAGGAAAAAUGCCCUUGGUCCAAGUAUGCAUUCUAUGUUAAGUCUAAUAAGUGCGGUUCAGUAUUAAUUAACAAGUUAAUAAUUCAGUGAGAUCAAGUGAGCUGAAUGCCUAGCUAGAGGCCGCUUCAGUUCAAGUGGAAUUAAUGAUAUUAAUCCACAACUUACUCUUGACUGAACCCGUAGGGUCACACAAAAAGUACGUAAACGAAUCAAGUGUUUAAUGGCAUUAAAUACUCUAUCUAUGGAUAUUCGGAAUCGACGGAUCUUGGUUUCAGUGGGAGCUGAGAUCGUCACAAGCAAGAAAUGAAUACUCCGGAAAUGAUGAUAUUGCCGGAAACGGAAAUAUGGAUCGUAUCGGAAAUAUAAAUAUUAUCCAAGUCGUAGAUGUUGCCGGAAAUGGAAACAUGGUACGUAUCGGAAAAUAUUAUGGGAAAUGGAAAUAUUGCCGGAAUCGGAAAUAUUGCCGGAAACGGAAAUAUUGUCAGAAUCGGAAAUAUUAUCGGAAUCGGAAAAUAAUUCCGGAAACGGAAAUAAUAAAUAUUUGUUCGAAACGGAAAUUAAUUCCGGAAUCGGAAAUAUUAAAUAUUGUUCGUAUCGGAAAUGAAUGCCGGAACCGGGAAUUUAAUCGGAAGCGUAUCGUACGAAUAAGCAUCGGACGAGGCCUGCCGGACGAGGGCCCAGCACGAAGCCAGGUCAUCGCCCAGCAAGCCAAGCGCGCCACACGAACAGCCAAGGCCACGCCAGGCCCAGCGCAAGGCCAGGCCCAGCAGGCCAUGGCAGCGCGCGCAGCAAUAGGCUGCGAGCUGUGCUGCUGCUCGCGUGGGCUUGCGGCUCGCGUGGGCCCAGCGGCCGUGUGGGCUGUGCGCGGGCAUGGCCUGCACGCUCGUGGGUCAUGCUCGUGUAGAGUUUGUGUUCACAUACGAAACCUAAAUUGUAUAGGAUUUGUUUGAUGAUUAAAUUCCUAAUCCUAAAAGGAUAAAAUUAAUUAGUUAGAGUCCUACUAGGAUUCUAGUUUAACUAAUUAGUAUCCUAAUAGGAUUCCAGUUCCUUUUUCAUACCUCUAUAAAUAAGGGCCUAGGGUCAUUAUUUGCAGGUACGAUUGAAGUAUUCAAAGGGUAAGUUUUUGAAAGAAAACUCAGCCAUACACUUGCAAACACAUAGCCGAAAUUCCUAGUAACCUUAAGGGCGAUUCUAGUUGGUCUAACUUGAGGCGGAUCCGGACGUACUGUGGACUAUCUACGGAGGGACGACAUUUGGAGUCCUAAAGACUUGUUCUUGUUCGGUUCGGGCGCAGCUAGGGAAGGCACGCUACAACAUGUAUGCAUCUAUUCUAUGCUAAAUGAUUAUGUGAAAAUAAUAUGCGUACGCAGUUUGCAAGAAUUGAAAGGGGUGAUUAAUUUUCGUAAUUGUUAAUUAAUUGCAAAUUUUGUUUAUUUAAUUAUACGUACGCAGUUUUUCGGCAGUUUCUUCGUUACUCAUCCAAAUCGAGUGAUUUUUGUGUCAAUUCCGCAUGUAAAAGGCAUUCUAAAAUUUUGACAAAAUUAAUAUUUUUCGGCCGAACCCUGAAUUCUCAAAUUCGAAGCCUAACUAUGACUUUUCGGAGGUUUUAGUUUUUCGAAUGCAAAAUUUCGUAAAUUUAAGAUGUUAAAUUAAUUUGAUAUUCAUAAUUUAGAAUUAAUUUGAUAUUCAUAAUUAGUUAUAAUUUAAUUAGAUACCUAUGAUUAAAAACCACCAUAAAAAAUUGUAAAUUUAUGUUAAAUUUUAAAUUUUUAUGACCUAGACUUGAAUCCAUGUUAAUCGGAAAUCAAUAAAUUAAUAAAUUUUCGAUUUUUCGCCCUAAAAUUAUGAAAUUAAUAUGAUUUAUUAAUUUGUCAUUAAUUUUGAAAAUAAAUUUUUUAAUUUUUAUGCGAUUCGCUCAUAUAACUUGCACGCACAAAGCAAUGGACGCUACGUGUUACCCUUAAGGGGUGUUGUAUAGUGCGGGCAUGCGACGACGAGCAAGGGAGCUCGUCGCCCAUGCGGUACGAAUGCAGCGAGCAAGGGCAUGGUGCACGAGCACAAGGCAGCAGCCCUGCCUUGUGUCGUGGGCUGUGUGCAAUGGGCGCAUGGGCAAGGGCGAGAGCAAGGCACGAGCAGUCGCGUGUGGGCAGCAAGCGUGCUGCGCCACAGCGCGCACUGCCUCGCGCAAGCAUGCGGAGCCACGCGCGCAACGAGCGCAAGUGUGCGUGCGACGAGCGCUGCGCCCAGCGAUGGCGUGCAGCGUGCUUGGUGCGACGUGCGACGAGCGCUGCGCCCAGCGAUGGCAUGCAGUGUGCUUGUUGCGACGUGCGACGAGCGCUACGCCCAGCGAUGGUCAGCAGCAUGCUUGUUGCGACGAGCGCUGGCGCGCGCCUUGCGAUGGGGAGCAGCAGCGAUGUGACGCAGCGCAUGGGCUGCGCGCACAUGGCCAGCGAUGGCUGUGUGCGUGUGGCCCAUGGGCGUGCGUUGCGUGGGGUGUUUGCGUUGCGAUUAGAUCGUUUUGAAAUUUUAAAAUUAAUAAUUUAAAUUAUUUUCUUGGAUUUUAAUUUUGAAUAUUGUAAUUAUAAUAAAUUUUAUUUAUUCUAAUUAUUUUACUAAAAUUAAAAUCAUGAAUUAAUUUAAAUACGACUGAAAUUAAAUUAAAAUUAUGGAUUCAAUUAUAAAUUUAUAUGAGCUUUAAAUUUUAAUUAAAUUUGUAUGUUUCCGGUUAGACUAGAAAUACAUUUUUAUGUUUAAAAUUAGUAAAGCAUAUGAAUUUAUUGGUUUAAGUGGGAGCCCUUUUAGUCAUAUUCUCUUGAUUAGGUCUACAAAUCCUUAAGGUUAAAACAACUUGAUUAGAAUUAAUAAGGACUGAAUAAUUUGUAGAUUAUUGGUGCCCUUGAUUAAUUGCUGCAAAUGUUUAUGUGAUGCAUAAUGCUUUUUACUAACCAGCUAUGUGGGCCAUUCAUGAUAAUGAAUGGGUGAAUGGUAUAUAUUGUAUACGUACUGUUUUGCAGGUUAUGAAGUGACUAGUAUGGCUCAAAUAGGAUAGAAAAUAUGGUCUGCGUACCAUUGAUUUGAAUGUAAUUGGUCUAAAGUACCAAAGUUGUUUUUCAAUUCAAAUAUGGUCUGCGUACCAUCAAAUAGUUGUAAUUAGUUUUAAUUAUAGCUUAUUCUAUUUGAAGAAAAUGGUGCCUCCCACGGAGAUUUUCAAGACGGACUUUGAAGUUAAAGCUUCAAGAUGAAGUCGGGUCAUACUAGAUCACAUUUAUCUUAUGCAUGUUUUAAGUUAUUUAUUGCUUUUAAAUAUGUCUUAAAACGCAUGAGAUCAAAGCUUGAUUAUGUUGCAUGAUUAAGGAUUUUAGUUCACUUAAAAUCUAACCAACAUAGUAAGAGCCUUAAGUUCCAAACUUAAAAAUUGAGUUAAAAGGUGCCAUGCCAAAAUAUACACUUGCUUGGAUAUCCUUUACAUCAAUCUAGUAAUAGUUUUCGCUCAGCGAGGUGUUACUUAUUGGUCCUAAAGGGUCAAGGUACACAAAUAAUUGUAAGUACAUGUUAGUUUUGGUGAAACUCAACGAUAUAAGUAAGGAGUCCUUUUAUGUCGUGGCAAAAUCGAUAGGUUUACCUAAUAAGUUCUUAGACGUACCUAUCAACCAAGAAUAGUUUCUAGACUAUUGGCAAAAGGCUUUUGCUUACCUAAGAUGUUCUAGGAUUAAGUCGACAAACCUUGCUUAGUUCUUCAAUGAUUUUAGGAUCUUGGAAUCAUUUUAUUCACACCUGCCGGAACAAUAAAAUCGAAUAAAAUGCUAAUAACUUGUUUAAAUUGCAUGAUUGCUUUAAUUUUCAAGUUAUUAAUCAUGACAAAUGUUUAUACUUUGCAUGCUUCAAUGUAUGUUUUAAUUAUUGUUUAUAAUUAAAUAUCUUGCACUGCAGUAAAUCCUUUUAGAAAGGUAACAGUAAAUUUCCUCGAUUGGUAAUGAAUCCAAGAACGAUUCACGGAAAUGAGAGAAAAUGAGCAAUUUAAAUGUACGUUUCUUUUAGCGACUUUUAUGGUUGUUUUCGAGUAUCAAAAUCGAAUGGCAAACCAAUCGGUGCUUGUGAAUUCAAAAUACAAUGUAGUUUUGAGAUCAUAAAGCAUUGAGUUUAAACGCUCAGCUUUACCAAUGGUUAACAAUCUAAUAUCUUUGUCCAUUUAAUUCUCGAAUGAGUCUAGUCCCUAGACAUUCGAAUAGAUCGAUGCUUAGAGAACUUUAGAAGCUCCUGGUAAGAUCAUCUAGUUGAAAACAGAAUAUUCAACAUAAAUUAAAAUGGUAAUAACUUUCUUGUAGUGACAUUGGACAUGUCUAAACAAAGUAUAAAAGUCAACACUAAAAAAUUCAAUUCUUAAGGCUAUAAGAAAGGGUACAAGAAAUAGGAAAACAAGGAACAAGUGAGAGGAACUUACAAUUCCGUUUCUACCUAAAAGUUAAUGUUUAAAGAGAAGUGACCUGGCAAUCAAACUUCCUUGGUAUUAUAUACCGCUUGAGGUUCUUACUUCGGUAAUAACUCAAACAAUGGAAGCUAGGCUACACUAAUGGCCUACAAGUGGGAAAAGAAGCAUAGCAAUGCUACAUUAAUUGUAGGGUCAUCUAGUUUGUUUUAAGUCCUUUCAAAGGCUGGAACUUAAUGGCUAUUUUGUUCCAUAAUCAGCAUACCUAUAUUUCUGCUUCAAACACAGAAAGACUCAUAUUCAACAAAAACAAAAACAAUGUUUGUCUGUUUAUUUGAAUGAAAUGGUCAUUUACAGGUUGAGUCAGUAUGCUUGAUUAAAACAAACAACUCUUUAAAUAAAAACUUUACUAGGUUCAAAUCAACCCCUUGAUUUGAAUUCCACUAAUCUUUGGCAUUGUUGCUUAGACCAUAUCAACAAGUUAACAUUCAAAAGCUCUAUUUUAUGGACUUUUGAAAGUUGAUUGAUUUCUAGAUCAUUCAAGACAAGCUAGUCUUACUUGUUGAAAGUAACAAAAGAUAUGAACUAUUGUUAGAACAUCUAGACAAUAGAGUUCAAAAGCUAAAAGACGGUUUUAUGACUUUAUUAUUUCACACAGAUUUGAGUGAAUAUAGGUUUAUUUACUCAAUGUGAUAUAAGUUUGAAUCUGUUUGGCUAGUUCAAAGAUUCAGAAGUAUAAAUCCCACUUGGCAAGAAAUCAUAAAGAUCUAGGUUAGAUCAUGUUGAGGAUUGCUUAAGUCAAGAAUGAUCAUCAAUGAUUGUGUGUUGUAAUUUUACGAUCUAGCUCCAUAAGAUAUGGCAUAUCUACGUUGGAAUGAUCGAAGUCAAUUGGUACUUAAUUCGAUCAAUGAUGAUUCAUAAAGAUUUUUCCUAUAAUUUCUAAACAAAAUGCUCAACUACCACCAAACUAAACCAAUUUCGUCAAAGCCAUUGAAAAGUAAUUUCAGAAUAUCUUUUCAUAAUAUAUCUAAAGAGUUCCUAAACUCAGUGGGAGCUCAGUGUUUGUUAUUCAACAAACUAAGGCCCAAGUAUAAAUAUAUGUUUCAUUGUGAUUUAUUCAAAUGAGACACAAGGGUAUUGUUUCUACCACGAAUUUUUAAGAACAUAAUGUUUGUUUGCUCGAAAUAAUGUCCUUUUGGAGAUUCGUUUCCAAAAUAACAAGUGGGAGAAAAUAGACCUCGAAAGUCUUCGAGGCGAACAACAAACAUAAACGGACAUUCCGGAGGCUUUUCGAAGUUCUUUAGAAAAUCCGAACAUGUAUUCUUUAAGGACUUUAGAAGUGGCUUUAAAGAAUAGACAUCUCUUAGAAGACUUUACAAGUGCUUCAAGGAGAACAGAAUAUUCAAAGGACUUUCAAGUGUCUGUUGAUAUUCUAUUGUUUGAUGUUCUAUACCCAAGUAGGCAUGGAGUUCAAGUCACUGAAACUAUGAGAUUCUUCUAUUAGAUAGUGAAGAAACAUAGAGAUCAGACCAAUGAAACCAUGAGAUUCUUCUAUUAGAUAGUGAAGAAACCUACAACUUGCAGUCAAACUAUUAUCAUGUAGAUUAAUGAGUUUAUAACCUGUAAGAAAGCUAUGACGAAACCCAAAUUCCCUAAAAUGGUUAGAGGCCAUAUAUAGACUCAAAUGUUUUAAAUGGUUAGAGGCCAUAAAACAUACUCAAUGUUUUGAUGACAAAAUUGAAAUUUUGUUGAUUUGCAAGAAUAGUUUCACACCUAUUGGUUGCAAAUUUGUUUUAAGGUUAAAAACCAUCAAACAUGGAAUUGUGUUCACACACAAAGCUAGAUUAGUUGCUAAAGGUUACAAGCAAAUUCAUGGCAUGGAUUGUGUUGAAACCUCAUGCAUAAUCAUAAUGCUCAAGUCUAUAAAUCAAGCAACCUAAACAGUUGAAAGUAAAAGUACUUAUUGCCUAAGAAGCAAUAAAACAGGGUUGUUUGUUUAUGUUAAAGAGUUCUUCACUAAACUUGGGUAGAUCAUAUGUCUUCUGACUUGAUGGUUCUUCAUUGCAAAAUGCGUAGAACUACUCUUGUAGCUAGAAGGAAUAGAUCACAAAAUAAACACACUCAAAAAGAUCUUAUCAUCAUAUCUCGAAGAACAUUCGAUGAAAAGAUAUUAAGAUUGGCAAAGCAUGAUAACUAAACCUAUGCAACAAGUGAGAAACAACACUCACAUUGUGGCACUGGAAAUCAAGCAUAGCUUUGAAUUCCAUGAACUGUUUUAAGGAUGGGUUCGAGGCCCAUGGCUGUAGAACAUUAGGGUUGAACAUUUAUCAUAUAUGAAAUGUAUUUUCAUAUUCCAUUUAAUCUUGGCUUAGUAUUAAAUGAUGAGUCCCUUCAAUUUGACGAUAUAUUCAAGAUAGACUGUCAGGACCAGUCCUGUGACUAAGAAAUGUCUAUCAAGUGAACUUGAAUGUCAAAAGUUGAAAAUGGUCCCUAGUCGGAGUUUUCUAUAAAAUUGGACGCAUAGAAAAC